CUACGGGAGGCAGCAGCAAGGAAUUUUCCGCAAUGGGCGCAAGCCUGACGGAGCAACGCCGCGUGCGGGAUGACGCCCUUCGGGGUGUAAACCGCUUUUCGGGGGGACGAAGAUCGUGACGGUACCCCCGGAAGAAGGCCCGGCUAACUACGUGCCAGCAGCCGCGGUAAGACGUAGGGGCCGAGCGUUGUCCGGAGUUACUGGGCGUAAAGGGCGCGCAGGCGGCCGGUCGCAUCGGCGGUGAAAGCCCCCCGCUCAACGGGGGAGGGUCCGUCGAGAUGGAUCGGCUGGAGGCAGGGAGAGGGCGGUGGAAUUCCGGGUGUAGUGGUGAAAUGCGUAGAGAUCCGGAGGAACACCAGUGGCGAAGGCGGCCGCCUGGACCUGACCUGACGCUGAGGUGCGAAGGCGUGGGGAGCGAACGGGAUUAGAAACCCCAGUAGUCC
Molecule: ribosomal RNA, 443 nt
Filed under: uncultured bacterium
Lineage: Bacteria
Description: bacterial SSU rRNA
Rfam family: Bacterial small subunit ribosomal RNA
Source: RNAcentral